CUCGAAUAAGACAAGAAUGGAGUCAUAAAGUCACAGACGGCUCCAGCAGAACCAAAAAUAUAAGAAAAUAGAACCCAAGGAAGUAUGUAAUCACACACUUACAAAGAUUUACCUCAAGUAGCACUUGUAAAUCACUCAAUGGGAAUUGAAAUUCAUUCUUAUAGUUGUUUCCAACAAUAAGUUUGUAGCUACAUCAGGAAGCUAAAACCAAAGCAAAUUUUACACAACUAU
RNAcentral lists this unclassified non-coding RNA (231 nucleotides) under Hevea brasiliensis (rubber tree). The record is from RNAcentral. Lineage: Eukaryota; Viridiplantae; Streptophyta; Magnoliopsida; Malpighiales; Euphorbiaceae.